RNAcentral lists this ribosomal RNA (1257 nucleotides) under Triticum aestivum (bread wheat). RNAcentral's name for it is "partial small subunit ribosomal RNA". The record is from RNAcentral. Lineage: Eukaryota; Viridiplantae; Streptophyta; Magnoliopsida; Poales; Poaceae.
AUGCUCCUCCGGGCGGCGGCCGCCGCCGCCCACCGGCUCCGCUUCAUUCCCCCGGUCCGCCGCAUAUCUUCCUUGAAGGUCCCGUGGCGCCGGGACGCGGCCCUGGACGCGUCCAUCGACCGCGACCGGCGCUUCCACCAAGCGUCCCGCCUCGUCCGCGAGGUGCUCCUCUCCCCCGGCCGCCGCCUCCUCCUUCGCUACCUUUCCAAGCGCCGCCAGCGCAUCCGCCUUCCGGUCCACGUCGCAACCUUCCUCCGCCGGUACCCCACGCUCCUCUCCGUUUCCCCUCCUCCCGACCCCGUCGCCUCCCCGUCCCCGCAGCUCGCCUCCUUCCUCGAAUUCGCAUCCCGCCUCCAGGCCACCCACUCCCCGCUCCUCGCCUCCAGGCUCGCCAAGCUCCUCAUGAUGUCCUGCACGCACGCGCUGCCGGUCGCAAAGAUUGCUGCUGCCAAGCGCGUCUUCGGCCUCCCGGACGACUUCUUGGUCUCGCUGGUCCCGAGGCACCCCGAUCUCUUCCGCCUCGUCGGAGACCCAGGGCCGGACGCGUCCGGCGACGCGUUCCUGGAGCUUGCCUCUUGGGACGACCGGCUCGCGAAGUCGGCGAUUGAAUUGAGGGCGGAUAGGGAGGCCGAUGUUGUUGGCAUACGGCCGAGGCCGAACUUUACAGUCAAAUUGCCAAAGGGGUUCUACCUCAAGAAGGAGAUGAGACAGUGGGUGAGGGAUUGGCUUGAGCUGCCAUAUGUGUCACCAUAUGCCGACACUUUCGGGCUUCACCCCGCAUCACCAGAGGCAGAGAAGAGGUUGAUUGGUGUUUUACAUGAGGUGUUGUCCUUGUCAGUUGAAAGGAGGAUGGCGAUACCAAUUAUAGGGAAGUUCUGUGAUGAGUUUAGGCUGUCGAAUGCGUUUUCUAACGCGUUCACGAGGCACCCGGGUUUAUUCUACGUUUCAUUGAAGGGUGGCAUUAAGACGGUGAUAUUGAGGGAGGCGUAUGACGAAAAUGGAGAGCUUGUGGAUAGGGACCCUAUGAUUGAGUUGAAGGAGAGGUUCGUGGCAAUCAUGGAUGAGGGCCAUAAGAAGUAUUUGGAGGAGUUGAGGAGGAGGAAUGAGAUGCUGCAGAAAGAGAGGGCAAAUGCCAUUCACAGGGGUGCCAAAGUUGACACAAAUAUUGAGGGAAGAGAUAUGGAGGGAUCAGAGGAAGACGAAGAUGAAGUAUAUGAUUAUGCACAAGUAGAAUCAGAAGAAAGAGAGCCAUUGUGA